This 188-nucleotide unclassified non-coding RNA is filed under the name uncultured fungus. Its description in RNAcentral is "sequence contains ITS1, 5.8S rRNA gene". The record is from RNAcentral. Lineage: Eukaryota; Fungi.
CUGAGUACCGGGUCUCUCAGGCCCUUACUCCCACCCUUUGUGUACCUUACCAAAUUUCAGUUGCCUUGGUGGGACCUCCUCUAAAUCCCCCUUGGAUUGGUUUUUCUAAUCCUUGGGUAGAGCCCACCAUUGGAACUUUUUUAAACUCUUGAUAAUUGAGUUGUCUGAGAAUAAAAACAAAUAAAUUA